RNAcentral lists this ribosomal RNA (661 nucleotides) under uncultured cyanobacterium. RNAcentral's name for it is "bacterial SSU rRNA". It matches the Rfam family "Bacterial small subunit ribosomal RNA", at positions 67 to 771 of the family's 1533-position model. The record is from RNAcentral. Lineage: Bacteria; Bacillati; Cyanobacteriota.
CGGGCUCUUCGGAGCUAGUGGCGGACGGGUGAGUAACGCGUGAGAAUCUGCCCUUUGGAGUGGGACAACGACUGGAAACGGUCGCUAACACCGCAUGAGCCGAGAGGUAAAAGUAUUUAUAGCCAAAGGAUGAGCUCGCGUCGGAUUAGCUAGUUGGUAGUGUAAUGGACUACCAAGGCGACGAUCCGUAGCUGGUCUGAGAGGAUGAUCAGCCACACUGGGACUGAGACACGGCCCAGACUCCUACGGGAGGCAGCAGUGGGGAAUUUUCCGCAAUGGGCGCAAGCCUGACGGAGCAAGACCGCGUGGGGGAGGAAGGUCUGUGGAUUGUAAACCCCUUUUGACUGGGAAGAACACAAUGACGGUACCAGUCGAAUCAGCCUCGGCUAACUCCGUGCCAGCAGCCGCGGUAAUACGGAGGAGGCAAGCGUUAUCCGGAUUUAUUGGGCGUAAAGCGUCCGCAGGUGGUUUAUCAAGUCUGCUGUCAAAGCACGGAGCUUAACUUCGUAUCGGCAGUGGAAACUGAUGAACUUGAGUGUGAUAGGGGCAGAGGGAAUUCCCAGUGUAGCGGUGAAAUGCGUAGAGAUUGGGAAGAACACCGGUGGCGAAAGCGCUCUGCUGGGUCAUAACUGACACUGAGGGACGAAAGCUAGGGGAGCGA